This 229-nucleotide long non-coding RNA is filed under the name Elaeis guineensis (African oil palm). RNAcentral's name for it is "long non-coding RNA (EGUI_LNC078695)". Lineage: Eukaryota; Viridiplantae; Streptophyta; Magnoliopsida; Arecales; Arecaceae. The record is from RNAcentral.
GAUCAUGUAUUUUUAAAUUUUUUUUUAUAACACAUACUUUAAUGAUGAACAUUUCUCAUGGAUAGAUAAAAAAUAUCGAUAAAAAUUGGAUGAAUACUCGCUCUAUCAUCUUACCUGAAUACCGACAAGGUGUUAGGGAUUUUAUAAGAUUUGUAUGAGAAAGAGUUGAUGAUCCCAAUAGAAUCAAAUAUCCUUGUCAGAGAUGUCACAACAAUUACUUCUUGCCUAC